GAUUAAGUUAUUAAGGGCGCACGGUGGAUGCCUUGGCACUAGAAGCCGAUGAAGGACGUUACUAACGACGAUAUGCUUUGGGGAGCUGUAAGUAAGCUUUGAUCCAGAGAUUUCCGAAUGGGGAAACCCAGCAUGAGUUAUGUCAUGUUAUCGAUAUGUGAAUACAUAGCAUAUCAGAAGGCACACCCGGAGAACUGAAACAUCUUAGUACCCGGAGGAAGAGAAAGAAAAUUCGAUUCCCUUAGUAGCGGCGAGCGAAAUGGGAAGAGCCCAAACCAACAAGCUUGCUUGUUGGGGUUGUAGGACACUCUAUACGGAGUUACAAAGGACGACAUUAGACGAAUCAUCUGGAAAGAUGAAUCAAAGAAGGUAAUAAUCCUGUAGUCGAAAAUGUUGUCUCUCUUGAGUGGAUCCUGAGUACGACGGAGCACGUGAAAUUCCGUCGGAAUCUGGGAGGACCAUCUCCUAAGGCUAAAUACUCUCUAGUGACCGAUAGUGAACCAGUACCGUGAGGGAAAGGUGAAAAGCACCCCGGAAGGGGAGUGAAAUAGAACCUGAAACCGUGUGCUUACAAGUAGUCAGAGCCCGUUAAUGGGUGAUGGCGUGCCUUUUGUAGAAUGAACCGGCGAGUUACGAUUUGAUGCAAGGUUAAGCAGUAAAUGUGGAGCCGUAGCGAAAGCGAGUCUGAAUAGGGCGUUUAGUAUUUGGUCGUAGACCCGAAACCAGGUGAUCUACCCUUGGUCAGGUUGAAGUUCAGGUAACACUGAAUGGAGGACCGAACCGACUUACGUUGAAAAGUGAGCGGAUGAACUGAGGGUAGCGGAGAAAUUCCAAUCGAACCUGGAGAUAGCUGGUUCUCUCCGAAAUAGCUUUAGGGCUAGCCUCAAGUGAUGAUUAUUGGAGGUAGAGCACUGUUUGGACGAGGGGCCCCUCUCGGGUUACCGAAUUCAGACAAACUCCGAAUGCCAAUUAAUUUAACUUGGGAGUCAGAACAUGGGUGAUAAGGUCCGUGUUCGAAAGGGAAACAGCCCAGACCACCAGCUAAGGUCCCAAAAUAUAUGUUAAGUGGAAAAGGAUGUGGCGUUGCCCAGACAACUAGGAUGUUGGCUUAGAAGCAGCCAUCAUUUAAAGAGUGCGUAAUAGCUCACUAGUCGAGUGACACUGCGCCGAAAAUGUACCGGGGCUAAACAUAUUACCGAAGCUGUGGAUUGUCCUUUGGACAAUGGUAGGAGAGCGUUCUAAGGGCGUUGAAGCAUGAUCGUAAGGACAUGUGGAGCGCUUAGAAGUGAGAAUGCCGGUGUGAGUAGCGAAAGACGGGUGAGAAUCCCGUCCACCGAUUGACUAAGGUUUCCAGAGGAAGGCUCGUCCGCUCUGGGUUAGUCGGGUCCUAAGCUGAGGCCGACAGGCGUAGGCGAUGGAUAACAGGUUGAUAUUCCUGUACCACCUAUAAUCGUUUUAAUCGAUGGGGGGACGCAGUAGGAUAGGCGAAGCGUGCGAUUGGAUUGCACGUCUAAGCAGUAAGGCUGAGUAUUAGGCAAAUCCGGUACUCGUUAAGGCUGAGCUGUGAUGGGGAGAAGACAUUGUGUCUUCGAGUCGUUGAUUUCACACUGCCGAGAAAAGCCUCUAGAUAGAAAAUAGGUGCCCGUACCGCAAACCGACACAGGUAGUCAAGAUGAGAAUUCUAAGGUGAGCGAGCGAACUCUCGUUAAGGAACUCGGCAAAAUGACCCCGUAACUUCGGGAGAAGGGGUGCUCUUUAGGGUUAACGCCCAGAAGAGCCGCAGUGAAUAGGCCCAAGCGACUGUUUAUCAAAAACACAGGUCUCUGCUAAACCGUAAGGUGAUGUAUAGGGGCUGACGCCUGCCCGGUGCUGGAAGGUUAAGAGGAGUGGUUAGCUUCUGCGAAGCUACGAAUCGAAGCCCCAGUAAACGGCGGCCGUAACUAUAACGGUCCUAAGGUAGCGAAAUUCCUUGUCGGGUAAGUUCCGACCCGCACGAAAGGCGUAACGAUUUGGGCACUGUCUCAACGAGAGACUCGGUGAAAUCAUAGUACCUGUGAAGAUGCAGGUUACCCGCGACAGGACGGAAAGACCCCGUGGAGCUUUACUGUAGCCUGAUAUUGAAAUUCGGCACAGCUUGUACAGGAUAGGUAGGAGCCUUUGAAACGUGAGCGCUAGCUUACGUGGAGGCGCUGGUGGGAUACUACCCUAGCUGUGUUGGCUUUCUAACCCGCACCACUUAUCGUGGUGGGAGACAGUGUCAGGCGGGCAGUUUGACUGGGGCGGUCGCCUCCUAAAAGGUAACGGAGGCGCUCAAAGGUUCCCUCAGAAUGGUUGGAAAUCAUUCAUAGAGUGUAAAGGCAUAAGGGAGCUUGACUGCGAGACCUACAAGUCGAGCAGGGUCGAAAGACGGACUUAGUGAUCCGGUGGUUCCGCAUGGAAGGGCCAUCGCUCAACGGAUAAAAGCUACCCCGGGGAUAACAGGCUUAUCUCCCCCAAGAGUUCACAUCGACGGGGAGGUUUGGCACCUCGAUGUCGGCUCAUCGCAUCCUGGGGCUGUAGUCGGUCCCAAGGGUUGGGCUGUUCGCCCAUUAAAGCGGUACGCGAGCUGGGUUCAGAACGUCGUGAGACAGUUCGGUCCCUAUCCGUCGUGGGCGUAGGAAAUUUGAGAGGAGCUGUCCUUAGUACGAGAGGACCGGGAUGGACAUACCUCUGGUGUACCAGUUGUCGUGCCAACGGCAUAGCUGGGUAGCUAUGUGUGGACGGGAUAAGUGCUGAAAGCAUCUAAGCAUGAAGCCCCCCUCAAGAUGAGAUUUCCCAACUUCGGUUAUAAGAUCCCUCAAAGAUGAUGAGGUUAAUAGGUUCGAGGUGGAAGCAUGGUGACAUGUGGAGCUGACGAAUACUAAUCGAUCGAAGACUUAAUCAA
RNAcentral lists this ribosomal RNA (2923 nucleotides) under Staphylococcus aureus. Its description in RNAcentral is "23S ribosomal RNA from Staphylococcus aureus (PDB 9I88, chain A)". It matches the Rfam family "Bacterial large subunit ribosomal RNA". RNAcentral also lists the same sequence under 4 other names. Lineage: Bacteria; Bacillati; Bacillota; Bacilli; Caryophanales; Staphylococcaceae. The record is from RNAcentral.